UACGGAGGGGGCUAGCGUUGUUCGGAAUUACUGGGCGUAAAGCGCACGUAGGCGGCUUUGUAAGUUAGAGGUGAAAGCCCAGGGCUCAACCCUGGAAUUGCCUUUAAGACUGCAUCGCUUGAACAUCGGAGAGGUAAGUGGAAUUCCGAGUGUAGAGGUGAAAUUCGUAGAUAUUCGGAAGAACACCAGUGGCGAAGGCGGCUCACUGGCCCGUUACCGACGCUCAGGCGCGACAGCGUGGGGAGCAAACAGG
RNAcentral lists this ribosomal RNA (253 nucleotides) under uncultured bacterium. RNAcentral describes it as "partial 16S ribosomal RNA". It matches the Rfam family "Bacterial small subunit ribosomal RNA", at positions 524 to 776 of the family's 1533-position model. The record is from RNAcentral.